Molecule: ribosomal RNA, 331 nt
Filed under: Candidatus Phytoplasma pyri
Lineage: Bacteria; Bacillati; Mycoplasmatota; Mollicutes; Acholeplasmatales; Acholeplasmataceae
Description: bacterial SSU rRNA
Rfam family: Bacterial small subunit ribosomal RNA
Source: RNAcentral
UGGAAUUCCAUGUGUAGGUAAAAUGCGUAAAGAUAUGGAGGAACACCAGUAGGGCUUGCUGGGUCACGCUGAGGCACGAGCGUGGGGAGCAAACAGGAUUAGAUACCCUGGUAGUCCACGCCGUAAACGAUGAGUACUAAGUGUUGGGUUAAACAGUGCUGAAGUUAACGCAUUAAGUACUCCGCCUGAGUAGACGCAAGUAUGAAACUUAAAGGAAUUGACGGGACUCCGCACAAGCGGUGGAUCAUGUUGUUUAAUUCGAAGAUACACGAAAAACCUUACCAUUGACAUACUCUGCAAAGCUAUAGAAAUAUAGUGGAGGUUAUCAGGG